UACGGAGGGAGCUAGCGUUGUUCGGAAUUACUGGGCGGAAAGCGCACGUAGGCGGCUACUCAAGUCAGAGGUGAAAGCCCAGGGCUCAACCUUGGAACUGCCUUUGAAACUAGGUAGCUAGAAUUCUGGAGAGGUCAGUGGAAUUCCGAGUGUAGAGGUGAAAUUCGUAGAUAUUCGGAAGAACACCAGUGGCGAAGGCGACUGACUGGACAGAUAUUGACGCUGAGGUGCGAAAGCGUGGGGAGCAAACAGG
RNAcentral lists this ribosomal RNA (253 nucleotides) under uncultured bacterium. RNAcentral describes it as "partial 16S ribosomal RNA". It matches the Rfam family "Bacterial small subunit ribosomal RNA", at positions 524 to 776 of the family's 1533-position model. The record is from RNAcentral.